CAUUGGGCCUUGUUGCCCUGGCCCGAACGGCAACCGACCUUCGACUGCACAUGUGGGAGCAUCCAAGGAAGAUAACCAAGCUCGACAUUGAUCCAUUGAAUGAUCGACAUUGAUCCAUUGAGGAAGCAUGCCUACCAUUUGGGAAUAGACCAAGUUCGGGAAGCAGAACAAGAACGCACCAUGCUGCAGAAAUAGUUGUGUAGGUCAGUCUGUGAAUGGAGGGAGAUUUCGGGAGAAAGUCAGGGACGUUGGCUUCUCGCCCGGAGGAUUCCUCGGUGACGGCACUCCGCCGGGAGGGAUCGUCGGAGUCUUGCCGAUCGGGAUACUCUGCUUUUCUGAAAAACUUUGACGGCACAAGAGCAUUGCCAGAUAUAUUAGAAGGGGAAGAUUGAGUUAAGUACAAGAACAAAGCAGAGCUGGGAAUUAGCCCUGAACAGCUAGGACCUCCUAAAAAAAGGAAGUCAGAUAAAUUACAAAAGGUCUAUAUUUUCCUAAAUCGAGAAGGCUACUUGGAUCGCCGGUUGCGAUUUCUGCUGGAAGAUCCGUCGGUUUCGUUCCAACCAUACAUGCCACCAAGUGGUUAACAGGUUCCUAUGAUUUUCUUUCUUUCACUUUUUGGCCUGAUGGUAGAAAGUGCUUCCACCCAGUCUGAAAUUGAUUGGGAGUCCGUGUGUAUAUGCCGGUAACCUUGCCAAGUGCAGAUUUGGUUCCAGACCGAUUUUGUGAAGUCGCAUUCUUCUGCAAGAUGUGUUGCAUCCUCAAAGGAGUCCCUGCAAAGACUGCAGAGCCAAACAAUGAAGUGAUGUUUUGGUUCAGCCUGGGAUUUCCAAAUCAUGGAAAAAAUUGCAGUGGAAGUAGUGCCAUUGAAUUGCGCCAAAUAAUCACUUCUUACCGUACGUGUAUUGACCAUUUUCUGUCUACUUCCAAAUGAUGUCGUCCUUUGCGCUUUCAUUGAGUUCCACAUACCUCAGUCUAUCUCAUAAUUGAACCAACAUGUGUGAUGGGGAGAACAAGAGCAACACAUGUAUGUACUCGCUCGCCUGGCUUGGCAUGGCUAGGCGGCGCGCAUAGGCGACAUGCAAUUGAAUAGUCCGUCAAAAUUCGUUCA
Non-coding RNA from Oryza sativa Japonica Group (Japanese rice), 1108 nucleotides. Lineage: Eukaryota; Viridiplantae; Streptophyta; Magnoliopsida; Poales; Poaceae. The record is from RefSeq and is a predicted model, not a curated record.